RNAcentral lists this ribosomal RNA (92 nucleotides) under uncultured beta proteobacterium. RNAcentral describes it as "partial 16S ribosomal RNA". It matches the Rfam family "Bacterial small subunit ribosomal RNA", at positions 338 to 429 of the family's 1533-position model. Lineage: Bacteria; Pseudomonadati; Pseudomonadota; Betaproteobacteria. The record is from RNAcentral.
UCUACGGGAGGCAGCAGUGGGGAAUUUUGGACAAUGGGGGAAACCCUGAUCCAGCAAUGCCGCGUGGGUGAAGAAGGCCUUCGGGUUGUAAA